AGUGGAUGGGGAGCAACCUAGUUGUGCGUGUGUAAAGGUAGUGCCAAGAAAAGCGAUGAUCAUGUUGAAAAUCAAUUCCCGGUACCCGAAACCGACACAGGUGGGCAAGUAGAGAAUACUAAGGGGCGCGAGGUAACUCUCUCCAAGGAACUCGGCAAAAUGACCCCGUAACUUAGGGAGAAGGGGUGCCACCGAGAGGUGGUCGCAGUGAAGAGGCCCAGGCGACUGUUUAGCAAAAACAUAGGUCUCUGCAAACUCGAAAGAGGAGGUAUAGGGGCUGACGCCUGCCCAGUGCCGGAAGGUUAAAGAAGUUGGUCAGUCUUAGGAUGAAGCUAGCGACUGAAGCCCCGGUGAACGGCGGCCGUAACUAUAACGGUCCUAAGGUAGCGAAAUUCCUUGUCGGGUAAGUUCCGACCCGCACGAAAGGCGUAACGAUCUGGGCGCUGUCUCGGAGAGAGGCUCGGCGAAAUAGGAUUGUCUGUGAAGAUACGGACUACCUGCAUUUGGACAGAAAGACCCUAUGAAGCUUUACUAUAGCUUGGAAUUGUGUUCGGGCUUCCUGUGCGCAGGAUAGGUGGGAGGCGUAGAAGGUAUUCUUGUGGGGAUACUGGAGCCAACGGUGAGAUACCACUCUCAGGAGGCUAGAAUUCUAACUUAAUUAAGGACAGUUUCAGGUGGGUAGUUUGACUGGGGCGGUCGCCUCCAAAAAGGUAACGGAGGCGUACAAAGGUUCCCUCAGACUGGUUGGAAAUCAGUCGAAGAGUGCAAAGGCAGAAGGGAGCUUGACUGCGAGAAGUACAGUUCGAGCAGGGUGGAAACACGGUCUUAGUGAUCCGACGGUGCUGUGUGGAAGGGCCGUCGCUCAACGGAUAAAAGUUACUCUAGGAUAACAGGCUGAUCUCCCCCAAGAGUUCACAUCGACGGGGAGGUUUGGCACCUCGAUGUCGGCUCAUCGCAACCUGGGGCGGAAGUACGUCCCAAGGGUUGGGCUGUUCGCCCAUUAAAGCGGUACGUGAGCUGGGUUCAGAACGUCGUGAGACAGUUCGGUCCAUAUCCGAUGUAGGCGUGAGGAUAUUGAGAGGAGCCUUCCUUAGUACGAGAGGACCGGGAAGGACGCACCGCUGGUGUACCUGUUAUGAUGCCAAUUGUAAACGCAGGGUAGCCAAGUGCGGAGAGGAUAACCGCUGAAAGCAUCUAAGUGGGAAGCCCACCUCAAGAUGAGUAUUCUGGUGUAAGGUCACGGGAAGACGACCCGUAAAUAGGCACGAGGUGGAAGUGCAGAGAUGUAUGAAGCCGAAGUGUACUAAUAGACCGUCGGCUUG
RNAcentral lists this ribosomal RNA (1322 nucleotides) under metagenome. RNAcentral describes it as "bacterial LSU rRNA". It matches the Rfam family "Bacterial large subunit ribosomal RNA", at positions 1561 to 2925 of the family's 2925-position model. The record is from RNAcentral.